AUGCUGAUUAAGGUUGCUUGGUUUUUUACUAAACAUUAACUGAAUGAAAACGGUUAGUCCUUGUUGUUCUGCUUGGGGGGCUUUGGUGAAGCAAAUGGACUUUCAGAACAGAGAUUGUCAAUAAAGCUUCCCACCAGGCUUUCAUAACCUUCGAACACUCUUCCUCAAAACUACUGUGUCACUGUCUUUGGAACUCCUUAAGCUGAUGAGGCAACAACAAGGCUCAACAGAUCUCUUUCACUGCCGGAGAUAAAACAGGUGUGCUCAGCCAGUACGACCAGGACAAGUUUGAGGAUUCUGGUGCCCAAGGCCUCCCUUUCCACUUGGCAGAGAUUUCCCUGUAAGUGCAGAGAGUCUCCCCAAGUAUAUGAUGAUAGAAGAUAGUCAGAGAAUGGAGUCAGAUAGAACAGAUCAUUCUAAGAUGUCUAAGUUAUUGCAGUUGCUUCUCUAGAAGCACAUAAUAUAAGUACAAGAUUAAUUUUUUGUGUCAGUUUUCAAGAACUACACAUUCCACAUGGCUUGCAUGGAAGCCCCGUUUCUUCAGCCUUCCAGACCAAUGAUCUGAUGGAUGAGUAUGGCAACAUGUUACAGUUUGAAGCACUUCAUCUGGCCAGCUACAAUUGUUCCAUAAUAGGAUAUAAACCACCUCUGAGUUUCCAUAAUCAGGCAACAAUAAUGUGACUAAAAUAAAACUCAGUUAAUUGCUUGGCUUGAUAUUGAAUGCAUGUCUGUUUUAGCUCUUACUGUGGCCACAGUCUGGGCUUGGUUGUUCCAUGACAAGGGAGUGUAGCAUGUAGUUGUACUGAGACAUGUGGUAUGUCUACGCUACAAUUAGAUAGCCAUGGCUGGCCCGUGCCAGCUGACUUGGGCUCACAGAGCUCAGGUAGUAGGGAUAUUUAAUUGUGUUUGGGCUCAGACUGCAGCAUGAGGUCUGGGACCUUCCCACUUUUCAGUGUCCAAGAGCCUAAGCUUCAGCCUGAGCUGAUGCCUACAGUGUGAUUACACAGGCCCACAGCCUGGGCCCUGUGAGCCUCAGUUGACUGAUAUGUGCUAUUUGUGGAUUUUUAAUUGCAGUGUAAACAUACUCUAAGUAACAUUGCUGUCACUGAGGUGAUGGUUGGGGUCUGCAGUGUGAGCUUGCCAACCUGGUAUGGUUUAAAUGGGUCUCACAAAGUUGCAUGGAAAAUAGUGAGAUUAGAACUUGACAGCUACAUCCUGCCUUUCCUCUCCCAAUCUGAUUACUGUUAUUACUAUGUAUAAUGGUGGCCUUGUUUUCCAACCAAUAGUUACAGUCUUUUAAUUUGUGAUGUGAUAAUAAUAAUUAUAUGUAGCUCCUUCAGAUGGUGGAAUUAAGAAAUUCUGUAUUACUUUAGAUAGUUUGUCUGUAAAACAAGGAUAAAAUAUUAAAUAUUAAACAUUUUAUUCCAUUUUCUUAAA
Molecule: non-coding RNA, 1437 nt
Organism: Pelodiscus sinensis (Chinese soft-shelled turtle)
Lineage: Eukaryota; Metazoa; Chordata; Testudines; Trionychidae
Source: RefSeq, a predicted model, not a curated record